UACGUAGGGUGCAAGCGUUAAUCGGAAUUACUGGGCGUAAAGCGUGCGCAGGCGGUUUUGUAAGACAGGCGUGAAAUCCCCGGGCUUAACCUGGGAAUGGCGCCUGUGACUGCAAAGCUGGAGUGCGGCAGAGGGGGAUGGAAUUCCGCGUGUAGCAGUGAAAUGCGUAGAUAUGCGGAGGAACACCGAUGGCGAAGGCAAUCCCCUGGGCCUGCACUGACGCUCAUGCACGAAAGCGUGGGGAGCAAACAGG
Molecule: ribosomal RNA, 253 nt
Filed under: uncultured bacterium
Lineage: Bacteria
Description: partial 16S ribosomal RNA
Rfam family: Bacterial small subunit ribosomal RNA
Source: RNAcentral